This 867-nucleotide unclassified non-coding RNA is filed under the name Hevea brasiliensis (rubber tree). Lineage: Eukaryota; Viridiplantae; Streptophyta; Magnoliopsida; Malpighiales; Euphorbiaceae. The record is from RNAcentral.
AAUAAAGGAGAUUCGGUACUCCUACUCCUAUUGUAUAAAUAUAUAUAAUAUAAGUUACCUUUAUCUAAGAAUUGGAACAGUAAUUUGCCCCUUCUUUUGUGAACCCCAAAGUUACUGAUCUAGGGUUUCUCAGUGUGUACAAUAAUGGCGAGCUCAUACUCUACUCCAAUCGGUGCCACUCAGGUUGGUUCCUACUUUGUUCAACAGUACUAUCAGGUUCUUCAGCAGCAACCGGACUAUGUUCAUCAGUUUUAUACUGAUGCCAGCUCUAUUGUUCGAGUUGAUGGUGAUUCCAACGAAUCGGCUUCUGCCCUUGUGCAAAUCCAUACUCUAAUCAUGUCAAUGAGUUUCUCUGGAAUUAAGAUCAAGACGAUAAAUUCUCUUGAAUCUUGGAAUGGUGGUGUUCUUGUUGUGGCCUCUGGUUCUGUCAAGUUGAGGGAUAUCAAUGGGUGGAGGGACUUUGUGCAAACAUUUUUACUUGCACCUCAGGAGAAGGGUUACUUUGUUCUGAAUGAUGUCUUUCAUUUUGUUAAUGAGGAGCAGAGUGAAGUAAUUCAAGCACCAGUAGGUUCACAGAACAAUCUUGAUGCUCAACCAACUUCUUCCAAUCCUCUUGCAGAGCCACCAGCCCAUGACUAUGCCUUAGAAGUGGAGGCGACUGAAUAUGUAAAUUCAGUUAAUAUACAAGGAAGUGAUGCUGUUGAAGAGUACAGUUAUCCAGAACAUGAUCAGGAAAACCUAUAUGAGGCUGAGGCUGAGUAUGAGUCUGAUGAGUAUGAGCAUGACGAGGCAGAGCUUGAGGCUGAUGUACCAGAGGAGACUCAUUUGGGGGAAGAAACUACUCAAGUAAGGUCAUUCGAAGAAGAG